Long non-coding RNA from Coffea eugenioides, 462 nucleotides. RefSeq lists it as uncharacterized. Lineage: Eukaryota; Viridiplantae; Streptophyta; Magnoliopsida; Gentianales; Rubiaceae. The transcript has 2 exons. The record is from RefSeq and is a predicted model, not a curated record.
CCCUCUUCCAAUCACUUGGCAGUGAGAAAAAUUACCUUCGCAUCCAGGAAGAGGGAUUGACUGGGGAUGCAUCAUCAGUUGAUGUCGCAACCACGGAAAAUAUGGAGACUCUAGUCCAGAUUGGCAACAGCCUGCUGAAGAAGCCAGUGUCGAGGGUGAAUUUGGAGACCGGAAGAUCUGAGGCUGUUCAAGGAGAGGGCACCAACGAAGAAGCUCUUACACAAUUUGCCAAGCUGCUUUCGGAUGAAAGGAAGCUCCGACUAGCCAACUGACGAUUCUCGUCUUAGAAUGUUUUAUUAGCAUUUUUUUUGGUUUUGUUUUGUUGGCAUUUUACUAGCAUCCAAAGGAUUAAUAUCCUUUUCUCGCCGGGCUAAAAAAUUCCAAGCAUUCAUUUCUCUCUCAGAUGGUUGAGAGAUCAUUAAUUGCUCGAUUCUCACGCAUGUCAAAACAUUUUAUUUUUCA